This 3834-nucleotide long non-coding RNA is filed under the name Canis lupus familiaris (dog). RNAcentral describes it as "lncRNA (ENSCAFG00000050140.1)". The record is from RNAcentral. Lineage: Eukaryota; Metazoa; Chordata; Mammalia; Carnivora; Canidae.
GGGCCAACUAAUUGAAUGACGGAACCAGGACUGGAACCAGCUGUUUCACCAUCACCAUGGCUUCCACCGGCCCAGCUGCCACUCCAUGUGUGGGAAAGAACUCGUGCCAUGGUGACUGUCUGAAAUGACUUGAUUGAAGGGAGAAAGGGGCUCCAAAUUGCUACAAAUAGCGCUCUCCAGACAGAGCAGAGCAGAUAGCAUGCUUCCAUAGCAGAUGCUGAUGGUCAGUGGGGUCCACUAAAGCAGCUACAGAAAUGCAUUGACAAGGUGAAGGGAGCCUGAGUGCCCUCCCUCUUCACGCAUUUCAAGGCAUUAAUCCUAACAGUCACUGUCACUAGAUUGCAGUGUUCCAAAUCCCCACUCAGAGCAUGAUUAAACAUUGGUCUCUUUAGGUGUAAAAUAUUGUGUCUAUUUGACAACAGCAUCCCAUAAAAACAAAUUAGAUGAGCUGGGUAGUAAUUCAGGUGCAAGAUGUAAAAUGAACCAAGCAUCAGGCAGAAAGACAUGAUAAUGGUUUCAAAGUGGAAUUAACUUACGGACAUCUGGGAAGCAGCUCUUUUUUCUUGCCCAAGCACCUUUCACAGGCAAACCGGCUUCCCCCAAGGGCAGGCCCAGAACAUAAGGGUUCAGAAAACUGCCACCAUCGUUAAAAACUACAAAUGUGCAUCAGAAAGGCCUUUCCAUUUUCGUUUAGCAAAGAGAAAUGCAAAGAAUAUAUCAAUUGAUGGUACACUGAAAUUUUUAUUUGCUGACACAUUUUCAUAACUAUUAGGCUCGUGGAAUUAGUCACUAUAAUGCAUUCAGCUAGUUCAAAUGAACUCCUGAAAGGAAUUACAUAUUUGUUCAUAAAGUAAUUUAUAAUGAAUUAUUAACAAGACUCCAGUUCAGUACAUACACGGUUUAUUAGCAAAUUGAGAUUGUCCUUCACUGAGCAGAAUCAGCAUGUCUAUACCUGACAGUCCUACCAUUUUGAAUGAAUGGAUUAACCAUUGCUUCUUAGCUGAGAAAGAAGUGCAAUGAAGCUGUGGCUCACUUUUUCUCAUGUGAUUUCUCUAAGUUUCUAUAAUUGCUGACCUUCUAUUUUAAAAAAAAUGAGGGUAGCCAGAGUAUUUUGCAUUAAAAAUUAUUUCUAUUGAAGAUGGUUUGUUCUUUGCUUCUAAGCACAACUGGAAUUUCAACCUUCCCCUUGGGUUCAAAUACAGCUAAUAUGUUAUACUUUACUCCUGAACUCUGGGCUUGGGUAUCCAACUGUCUACUCAUCAUCUCCACUAGGAUAUAGAAUUGAUGCCUUGAUUUUACUAUGUCUAAAACAAAUCAUCUUACUUCUUUACCAAAACUGCUUCUUUAGCAGUCUUCCCCAAAUUGGUUAAUGGCCUGUUCGUUGCUCAGGCCAAAACCCUCAGAGCUUAUCUUCCAAGGGCAGGCCCAGCACAUAAAGGAUCAGAACACCACCAUCAUGGAAAAAUAAAAAUGUUGAUCAGAAAAGCCUCUUCAACUCCUUUCUUUCCUUCAUAUUCCAUCUCCUUAUAGCCAAUAUUUCAGGAAAUCUUCUUUUAUUAUCUAUAUUUGAAACAUAUUAGGAAUUUGACCACAUCUCGAGCACCCGGGUGCUGCAGUUGGUUAGGCCUCUGACUCUUGGUCUCAGCUCAGAUAGUGAUCUCAGGGUUGUGAGAUUGAGCCCUGCAUCAGGCUCCACACUCAGUGCAGAGUCUGCUUGAGAUUCUCUCUCCUUCUCCCUCUGUCUCUUCCACUCAUGCUCAUUCUCUCUCUAAAAUAAACAAAUUUUGAGGGGCCUGGGUGGCUCAGUCAGUUAAGUGCUGCCUUCAGCUCAAGUCAUGAUCUCCAGAUCCUGGGAUCAAGCCCCAAGUAGGGCUCCCUGCUCAGGGGAGAAUCUGCUUCUUCCUCUCCCUCUGCCCCUUCAUCUGCUUAUUCUCUCUCUCAUAAAUAAAUACAAUCUUAAUAAAUUAAGUAAUGAAUAAAUCUUUUUAUAAAAAGAGAAUUUGACCACAUCUCAAUACCACCUACACUGUGACCCUGUUUUAAUCCACCAUCAUGUGUUGCCUGGAUUAUUUUAGUAGUUUAAAAGCUCCUGGCCCUUAUUCUUCCCUGACUCCCCAUUAGUUUGUUCUCAACACAGCAGCCAAAAUGCUUCUUCAAACUAAGACAGACUACAGAAUUCCUCUGCUCAAAACCCUUUAAUACUUUUUCAUCUCACUCAGCAUAAACCAGACUUGGACUCCCGUUAUCAACCCACCUCAUCUAUCCCCAUCCCCACUCCCUUAGCCUGUUGGACAAAAUCCAUGAAUGAAUGAAUCAUGAGUUCUAUUUCUGGGUUUCAAGGUCAGCAUAGUCCUAUAGCAAAGGCACAGGUCAAAGUUGAAAUUCCAAUUCAGCCACUUAAUAGUUUACUUAGCCAAAUUACUUAAUUUCUUGAUUUCCUCCUCUGUAAAAUGGAGAUAUAUACAUGGACUACAAAGUAAAUUAUAUAAGCUGCCUGCCAUAUGUUUUGUGGUCAAUUCAAGAGAGCUAUUUUAUAAUCAUUUGUCUUUAAUGGAGAUAUUUGUUUAUCAUAGUAUAGUUUUGAAGCUUAUGUGUAGCAAAAACUGUUUUUUAUUUAUUUGAGAGAGAGAGAGAGAUAGCAAAAGAGAGCAUGAGUGGGAGGGGGUAGGGCACAGGGAGAAGAAGAAGCAGGCUCCUCACUGAGUAGGGAGCCCAUUGAGGUGCUCAAUCCCAGGACCCCUGGAUCAUGACCUGAGCCAAAGCCAGACGUUUAUCAAACUAAGCCACUCAGGCACCCCUGCAAAAACUAUUUUAAAAACUAUUUUAAAGUAGUGGUGAGCCUGGGUGGCUCAGUCACUUAAAUGUCGGACUCUUGACUUUGGUCAAGUAAUGAUCUCAGGGUCCUAGGAUUGAGCUCCAACAUAAUGUAGUAAAUUUUAGUCCAAAUGUGCCCAACUGAGGGGUUUUAUGAAUUAUAUUAUCAGUAAGAGGAGAAUUUUAUUUUUUUUAAGAUUUUAUUUAUUUAUUUAUGAGAUGCAGAGAAAGAGAGAGAGGCAGAGACAUAGACAGAGGGAGAAGCAGGCUCCAUGCAGGGAGCCUGAUGUGGGACUCGAUUCCGGGAUUCCAGGAUCACACCCUGAGCCAAAGGCAGACACUCAACCACUGAGCCACCCAGGCAUCCCAGGCGAAUUUUAUUAUACUUGAUACUGAGAUGAACAAUAAUCACAGUCUCUGUACCAUACAAAAAGUUUGGUAAAAGACUUGGCAAAUUUAAAGCUGAGUUGGCAUUACUUUCUUUAAAUAAAUAGAAUAUUUUAAGAAUAAAAAUAUAGAAAUGCUUUCAUUGUUAGAAGACGUUAUAGCUGACUUGAUGUGUUUCUCAUGUUAAAAUGCUUCAUCUAGGGGCACCUGGUGGCUCAGUCUUUUGAGUUUCUGCCUUCAGCUGGUGUCGUGAUCUUGGGGUCCUAAGAUCGAGCCCCACAUCAGACUUCCUGCUCACUGGGGAGCCUGCUUCUCCCUCUGCCUGACACUCUACUUGUGCUCUCUCUCUAUGUCAAAUAUAUAAAUAAAAUCUUUUUUUAAAAAAAUGCUUCAUCUGUAUGCUUUAAAAACUUGGAAAAUAAUUUUCUAAUCUUAAAAACUUUAAAACUUUCUAAAUAAACACUUUCAAUACUUUUUUAACACAUUUCUAUUUUGCGGGAGGCGAGGGGGCAGGGAGUUCAUAUAUAUGCAUAUCUCAUACCAAAACCUUCCAAGUAGUAUCCAGAAGCAACUGAUUGACAUUCAAUGGAAGUGCAUAUUCAGGGAAGGUAGCCAAUUAAAAAAAAAAAAAAA